RNAcentral lists this ribosomal RNA (660 nucleotides) under uncultured bacterium. RNAcentral's name for it is "bacterial SSU rRNA". It matches the Rfam family "Bacterial small subunit ribosomal RNA", at positions 94 to 788 of the family's 1533-position model. The record is from RNAcentral.
AGUGGCGGACGGGUGAGUAACGCGUGAGAAUCUGCCUUGGGGUCGGGGACAACCACUGGAAACGGUGGCUAAUACCGGAUAAGCCGAUUGGUGAAAGAUUUAUUGCCCGAAGAGGAGCUCGCGUCUGAUUAGCUAGUUGGUGAGGUAAGAGCUCACCAAGGCAGCGAUCAGUAGCUGGUCUGAUAGGACGAUCAGCCACACUGGGACUGAGACACGGCCCAGACUCCUACGGGAGGCAGCAGUGGGGAAUUUUCCGCAAUGGGCGAAAGCCUGACGGAGCAAGACCGCGUGAGGGAGGAAGGCUCUUGGGUUGUAAACCUCUUUUCUCAGGGAAGAAGCUCUGACGGUACCUGAGGAAUCAGCCUCGGCUAACUCCGUGCCAGCAGCCGCGGUAAUACGGAGGAGGCAAGCGUUAUCCGGAAUUAUUGGGCGUAAAGCGUCCGCAGGUGGCGAUUCAAGUCUGCUGUCAAAGCACGGGGCUUAACUCCGUAAAGGCAGUGGAAACUGAAUAGCUAGAGUGCCGUAGGGGUAGAGGGAAUUCCCGGUGUAGCGGUGAAAUGCGUAGAGAUCGGGAAGAACAUCGGUGGCGAAAGCGCUCUACUGGACGGCAACUGACACUCAGGGACGAAAGCUAGGGGAGCGAAUGGGAUUAGAUACCCC